GUGGCUGUAGCUCAGUUGGUAGAGCAUCUGGUUGUGGUCCAGAAGGUCGCGGGUUCAAGCCCCGUCAGCCACCCCA
Molecule: transfer RNA, 76 nt
Filed under: Boudabousia marimammalium
Lineage: Bacteria; Bacillati; Actinomycetota; Actinomycetes; Actinomycetales; Actinomycetaceae
Description: Actinomyces marimammalium tRNA-His
Rfam family: tRNA
About the family: Transfer RNA (tRNA) molecules are approximately 80 nucleotides in length. Their secondary structure includes four short double-helical elements and three loops (D, anti-codon, and T loops).
Source: RNAcentral